Molecule: long non-coding RNA, 308 nt
Filed under: Mytilus galloprovincialis (Mediterranean mussel)
Lineage: Eukaryota; Metazoa; Mollusca; Bivalvia; Mytilida; Mytilidae
Source: RNAcentral
UGGGUCUAUCAUUUUAAAAAGUUCUUAAUAGUAACCUAGCAAACACAAUGUUGCCUAGUGAACACUAAAAAGUACUUUUUUAUCCAAUGCUAUCCUUAAAAAAAAAUGAAAAAUUCAAAUGUUUUUAUACAACUCAUAUUAAGUCGACUCCUAUAUUGAUAUAUUUAGUAACAAUGUUUGCAUGAAAAAACAAUUUGAUUUUGUAUCUGUAUAAUCCGUCAAAUCAACCCGAGUUUUCCUUAGCAACGCAUAGUUAGUUUUAAGUAAACAGUUGAAGAACAUUUAAAAAGAUGUUUAGUGUCACUGAG